UACGGAAGGCAGCAGUGGGGAAUAUUGCACAAUGGGCGCAAGCCUGAUGCAGCCAUGCCGCGUGUAUGAAGAAGGCCUUCGGGUUGUAAAGUACUUUCAGUCGUGAGGAAGGUGUUAAGGUUAAUAACCUUAAGCAAUUGACGUUAGCGACAGAAGAAGCACCGGCUAACUCCGUGCCAGCAGCCGCGGUAAUACGGAGGGUGCGAGCGUUAAUCGGAAUUACUGGGCGUAAAGGGCACGCAGGCGGUUAAUUAAGUUGGAUGUGAAAUCCCCGGGCUUAACCUGGGAAUGGCAUUCAAGACUGGUUAGCUAGAGUCUUGUAGAGGGGGUAGAAUUCCAUGUGUAGCGGUGAAAUGCGUAGAGAUGUGGAGGAAUACCGGUGGCGAAGGCGGCCCCUGGACAAAGGACUGACGCUCAUGUGCGAAAGCGUGGGGAGCAAAC
RNAcentral lists this ribosomal RNA (441 nucleotides) under uncultured bacterium. Its description in RNAcentral is "bacterial SSU rRNA". It matches the Rfam family "Bacterial small subunit ribosomal RNA", at positions 340 to 773 of the family's 1533-position model. The record is from RNAcentral.